Hyposmocoma kahamanoa is the source of this 221-nucleotide long non-coding RNA. RefSeq lists it as uncharacterized. The record is from RefSeq and is a predicted model, not a curated record. Lineage: Eukaryota; Metazoa; Arthropoda; Insecta; Lepidoptera; Cosmopterigidae. The transcript is spliced from 3 exons.
CAGUCACGUGAUGCCGUGACUGUGUCACGUGGUAAUCCGUACCUGUCAAAAUGUGACAGAGACAGAGCGACAGAAAGGGAUGGAGAUAUCGCGUGCGUUCAAAUUUGUGUCGCCAUCAAAAACUUCCAUGGUCAUCUUUGGACAACUCUAUCAUUGAAGGUCAUCUCAAGACAUCGUAAUCAAUUAUUCUAAAACCUGAAAAGGCUGCCAAUGUCAACUGC